GCCGCCAUGGUGAAAUUGGUAGACACGCUGCUCUUAGGAAGCAGUGCUCGUGCAUCUCGGUUCGAGUCCGAGUGGCGGCA
This 80-nucleotide transfer RNA is filed under the name Plumbago zeylanica. RNAcentral describes it as "tRNA-Leu". It matches the Rfam family "tRNA". From Rfam's summary of the family: Transfer RNA (tRNA) molecules are approximately 80 nucleotides in length. Their secondary structure includes four short double-helical elements and three loops (D, anti-codon, and T loops). Further hydrogen bonds mediate the characteristic L-shaped molecular structure. tRNAs have two regions of fundamental functional importance: the anti-codon, which is responsible for specific mRNA codon recognition, and the 3' end, to which the tRNAs corresponding amino acid is attached (by aminoacyl-tRNA synthetases). tRNAs cope with the degeneracy of the genetic code in two manners: having more than one tRNA (with a specific anti-codon) for a particular amino acid; and 'wobble' base-pairing, i.e. permitting non-standard base-pairing at the 3rd anti-codon position. The record is from RNAcentral. RNAcentral also lists the same sequence under 2 other names. Lineage: Eukaryota; Viridiplantae; Streptophyta; Magnoliopsida; Caryophyllales; Plumbaginaceae.